AAAAAGACAAACCAUGAGUUUUCGUGUCCAACAUAAAUAUUAAUUUUUUUAUGAUUAAUAUUUUUAUUGAUAUUAUAUGAUAAAACAUAAAUAGUACUUUAUGUGUGACUAACUUUUUUUAAUUUUCUCAUAAAUUUUUCAAAUAAGACGGACGGUCAAACGUUGGACACGGAUUUCCACGGCUGCACUUAUU
This 193-nucleotide microRNA precursor is filed under the name Oryza sativa Indica Group (long-grained rice). Its description in RNAcentral is "MIR812 microRNA precursor family". It matches the Rfam family "MIR812 microRNA precursor family". Lineage: Eukaryota; Viridiplantae; Streptophyta; Magnoliopsida; Poales; Poaceae. The record is from Rfam by way of RNAcentral.